ACACAUGCAGUCGAGCGGCAGCGGGAAAGUAGCUUGCUACUUUUGCCGGCGAGCGGCGGACGGGUGAGUAAUGCCUGGGGAUCUGCCCAGUCGAGGGGGAUAACAGUUGGAAACGACUGCUAAUACCGCAUACGCCCUACGGGGGAAAGGAGGGGACCUUCGGGCCUUUCGCGAUUGGAUGAACCCAGGUGGGAUUAGCUAGUUGGUGAGGUAAUGGCUCACCAAGGCGACGAUCCCUAGCUGGUCUGAGAGGAUGAUCAGCCACACUGGAACUGAGACACGGUCCAGACUCCUACGGGAGGCAGCAGUGGGGAAUAUUGCACAAUGGGGGAAACCCUGAUGCAGCCAUGCCGCGUGUGUGAAGAAGGCCUUCGGGUUGUAAAG
This 384-nucleotide ribosomal RNA is filed under the name uncultured bacterium. Its description in RNAcentral is "bacterial SSU rRNA". It matches the Rfam family "Bacterial small subunit ribosomal RNA", at positions 51 to 430 of the family's 1533-position model. The record is from RNAcentral.